CCCAGCUCGUCAUGUUAGAACACUUUUUCAAUGUGCUCCCCAACAACAAGGCGACGACGCAUUCGUAUGUCAAUCCUUAUCAACUUUCGAUGCCAUUUACUGCGCCUACCAUGGUGACCACGGGUAACGGGGAAUCAGGGUUCCAUUCCGUACAGGGACCCUGACAAACGGCUACCACAUGAAAGGAAGGCAGCAGGCGCACAUAUGACCCACUCCCGACGCGGGGAGGUAGUGACG
RNAcentral lists this ribosomal RNA (237 nucleotides) under Pelobates cultripes (western spadefoot toad). RNAcentral describes it as "SSU_rRNA_microsporidia". It matches the Rfam family "Eukaryotic small subunit ribosomal RNA", at positions 237 to 472 of the family's 1831-position model. Lineage: Eukaryota; Metazoa; Chordata; Amphibia; Anura; Pelobatidae. The record is from RNAcentral.